UCCGGUUUAACACCGGCGGUCUCCAUAGAGUGCCCAACUGAAUGAUGGCAACUAGGGAUAAGGGUUGCGCUCGUUAAGGGACUUAACCCGACAUCUCACGAUACGAGCUGACGACAGCCAUGCAGCACCUGUCUCUCCGCCCCCGAAGGGGAAGCCCUAUCUCUAGGGUUGUCGAAGGAUGUCAAAUCCAGGUAAGGUUCUUCGCGUUGCAUCGAAUUAAACCACAUGCUCCACCGCUUGUGCGGGCCCCCGUCAAUUCCUUUGAGUUUUAAUCUUGCGACCGUACUUCCCAGGCGGGGUACUUAAUGCGUUAGCGUCGGCACUGCAGGGGUCAAUUCCCGCAACACCUAGUACCCAUCGUUUACGGCGUGGACUAC
This 377-nucleotide unclassified non-coding RNA is filed under the name uncultured Oligoflexales bacterium. RNAcentral's name for it is "contains 16S-23S intergenic spacer region". Lineage: Bacteria; Pseudomonadati; Bdellovibrionota; Oligoflexia; Oligoflexales. The record is from RNAcentral.